RNAcentral lists this ribosomal RNA (253 nucleotides) under uncultured bacterium. RNAcentral's name for it is "partial 16S ribosomal RNA". It matches the Rfam family "Bacterial small subunit ribosomal RNA", at positions 524 to 776 of the family's 1533-position model. The record is from RNAcentral.
UACGGGGGGGGCAAGCGUUGUUCGGAAUUACUGGGCGUAAAGGGCUCGUAGGCGGCCAACUAAGUCAGACGUGAAAUCCCUCGGCUUAACCGGGGAACUGCGUCUGAUACUGGAUGGCUUGAAUUCGGGAGAGGGAUGCGGAAUUCCAGGUGUAGCGGUGAAAUGCGUAGAUAUCUGGAGGAACACCGGUGGCGAAGGCGGCAUUCUGGACCGACAUUGACGCUGAGGAGCGAAAGCCAGGGGAGCAAACGGG